UGGGGAAUAUUGCACAAUGGGCGAAAGCCUGAUGCAGCGACGCCGCGUGAGGGAUGACGGCCUUCGGGUUGUAAACCUCUUUCAGCAGGGAAGAAGCCACAAGUGACGGUACCUGCAGAAGAAGCGCCGGCUAACUACGUGCCAGCAGCCGCGGUAAUACGUAGGGCGCAAGCGUUGUCCGGAAUUAUUGGGCGUAAAGAGCUCGUAGGCGGUUUGUCGCGUCUGCUGUGAAAGCCCGGGGCUUACCCCCGGGUGUGCAGUGGGUACGGGCAGACUAGAGUGCAGUAGGGGAGACUGGAAUUCCUGGUGUAGCGGUGGAAUGCGCAGAUAUCAGGAGGAGCACCGAUGGCGAAGGCAGGUCUCUGGGCUGUUACUGACGCUGAGGAGCGAAAGCAUGGGGAGCGAACA
RNAcentral lists this ribosomal RNA (408 nucleotides) under uncultured bacterium. Its description in RNAcentral is "partial 16S ribosomal RNA". It matches the Rfam family "Bacterial small subunit ribosomal RNA", at positions 355 to 774 of the family's 1533-position model. The record is from RNAcentral.